RNAcentral lists this ribosomal RNA (422 nucleotides) under uncultured Acetivibrio sp. RNAcentral's name for it is "bacterial SSU rRNA". It matches the Rfam family "Bacterial small subunit ribosomal RNA", at positions 355 to 794 of the family's 1533-position model. Lineage: Bacteria; Bacillati; Bacillota; Clostridia; Acetivibrionales; Acetivibrionaceae. The record is from RNAcentral.
UCGGGAAUAUUGCGCAAUGGAGGAAACUCUGACGCAGUGACGCCGCGUAUAGGAUGAAGGUUUUCGGAUUGUAAACUAUUGUCAUUAGGGAAGAUAAAAGACAGUACCUAAGGAGGAAGCUCCGGCUAACUACGUGCCAGCAGCCGCGGUAAUACGUAGGGAGCAAGCGUUAUCCGGAUUUAUUGGGUGUAAAGGGUGCGCAGGCGGCGUGCCAAGUCAGCGGUCAAAGUUCCGGGCUCAACCCGGUGAUGCCGUUGAAACUGGUGUGCUUGAGUGCGUGCGAGGGAGGCGGAAUGCGUUGUGUAGCGGUGAAAUGCAUAGAUAUGACGCAGAACUCCGAUUGCGAAGGCAGCUUUCCAGCACGCCACUGACGCUGAGGCACGAAAGCGUGGGGAUCGAACAGGAUUAGAUACCCUGGUAGU